CUUUCCCUCUGUCGGCAGGCCUAACACAUGCAAGUCGAACGGUAACAGAAAACAGCUUGCUGUUUCGCUGACGAGUGGCGGACGGGUGAGUAAUGUCUGGGAAACUGCCUGAUGGAGGGGGAUAACUACUGGAAACGGUAGCUCAUACCGCAUAACGUCGCAAGACCAAAGAGGGGGACCUCCGGGCCUCUUGCCAUCGGAUGUGCCCAGAUGGGAUUAGCUAGUAGGUGGGGUAACGGCUCACCUAGGCGACGAUCCCUAGCUGGUCUGAGAGGAUGACCAGCCACACUGGAACUGAGACACGGUCCAGACUCCUACGGGAGGCAGCAGUGGGGAAUAUUGCACAAUGGGCGCAAGCCUGAUGCAGCCAUGCCGCGUGUAUGAAGAAGGCCUUCGGGUUGUAAAGUACUUUCAGCGGGGAGGAAGGGAGUAAAGUUAAUACCUUUGCUCAUUGACGUUACCCGCAGAAGAAGCACCGGCUAACUCCGUG
Molecule: ribosomal RNA, 490 nt
Filed under: uncultured bacterium
Lineage: Bacteria
Description: partial 16S ribosomal RNA
Rfam family: Bacterial small subunit ribosomal RNA
Source: RNAcentral